AUUGAACGCUGGCGGCAGGCCUAACACAUGCAAGUCGAGCGAGCGGCGGACGGGUGAGUAAUGUCUGGGAAACUGCCUGAUGGGGGGGGCUAACUCCUGGAAGCGCUAGAACAUACCGCAUACGCUCAGAUGUGGGCCGGUGGGAAUAGCUAGUAGGUGGGGUAACGACUCACCUAGGCGACGAUCCCUAGAUGGUGUGGGAGGAUGACCAGCCACACGGGAACUGAGACACGGUCCAGACUCCUACGGGAGGCAGCAGUGGGGAAUAUUGGACAAUGGGCGCAAGCCUGAUGCAGCCAUGCCGCGUGUGUGAAGAAGGCCUUCGGGUUGUAAAGCACUUUCAGCGGGGAGGCGUUACCCGCAGAAGAAGCACCGGCUAACUCCGUGCCAGCAGCCGCGGUAAUUC
This 406-nucleotide ribosomal RNA is filed under the name uncultured bacterium. Its description in RNAcentral is "partial 16S ribosomal RNA". It matches the Rfam family "Bacterial small subunit ribosomal RNA", at positions 29 to 526 of the family's 1533-position model. The record is from RNAcentral.